This 441-nucleotide ribosomal RNA is filed under the name uncultured bacterium. RNAcentral's name for it is "partial 16S ribosomal RNA". It matches the Rfam family "Bacterial small subunit ribosomal RNA", at positions 338 to 795 of the family's 1533-position model. The record is from RNAcentral.
CCUACGGGAGGCAGCAGUCGGGAAUAUUGCGCAAUGGAGGAAACUCUGACGCAGUGACGCCGCGUGCAGGAAGAAGGUUUUCGGAUUGUAAACUGCUUUUGACAGGGAAGAACAAAGACAGUACCUGUAGAUUAAGCUCCGACUAACUACUUGCCAGCAGCCGCGGUUAUACGUAGGGACGAAGCGUGAGCCGGAUUUAUUGGGGGUAAAGGGUGCGGAGAGGGAGUAGCAAGUUAGUUGUGAAAUCCCUCGGCUUAACUGAGGAACUGCAACUAAACCUAGUUCCCUUGAGUACUGGAGAGGAAAGUGGAAUUCCAAGUGUAGCGGUGAAAUGCGUAGAUAUUAGGAGGAACACCAGUGGCGAAGGCGACUUUCUGGACAGUAACUGACGUUGAGGCACGAAAGUGUGGGGAGCAAACAGGAUUAGAUACCCCUGUAGUC